CAAAUGACUCUCGGCAACGGAUAUCUCGGCUCAUGCAUCGAUGAAGAACGUAGCAAAAUGCGAUACUUGGUGUGAAUUGCAGAACCCCGUGAACCAUCGAGUUUUUGAACGCAAGUUGCGCCCAAAGCCUUUUGGCCGAGGGCACGUCUGCCUGGGCGUCACAY
RNAcentral lists this ribosomal RNA (164 nucleotides) under Shafera platyphylla. RNAcentral's name for it is "5.8S ribosomal RNA". It matches the Rfam family "5.8S ribosomal RNA". Rfam says of the family: 5.8S ribosomal RNA (5.8S rRNA) is a component of the large subunit of the eukaryotic ribosome. It is transcribed by RNA polymerase I as part of the 45S precursor that also contains 18S and 28S rRNA. Lineage: Eukaryota; Viridiplantae; Streptophyta; Magnoliopsida; Asterales; Asteraceae. The record is from RNAcentral.